GCGUGUCGUCGCGACUGGCGCUGAGGUGGACACCCACCAGGGAGCGACGACGAGCACGACGUCGGGACCGUCCGCCUGGGCCCCGUGU
RNAcentral lists this non-coding RNA (88 nucleotides) under Aeromicrobium sp. Root495. RNAcentral describes it as "ZMP/ZTP riboswitch aptamer (pfl RNA motif)". It matches the Rfam family "ZMP/ZTP riboswitch aptamer (pfl RNA motif)". Rfam says of the family: Previously known as pfl RNA. ZMP is also known as AICAR. Lineage: Bacteria; Bacillati; Actinomycetota; Actinomycetes; Propionibacteriales; Nocardioidaceae. RNAcentral also lists the same sequence under 1 other name. The record is from Rfam by way of RNAcentral.